This 121-nucleotide small nucleolar RNA is filed under the name Echinops telfairi (small Madagascar hedgehog). RNAcentral describes it as "Small nucleolar RNA SNORA61 (ENSETEG00000026282.1)". The record is from RNAcentral. Lineage: Eukaryota; Metazoa; Chordata; Mammalia; Afrosoricida; Tenrecidae.
ACCCUCUAGAACCCUUAGCCCUCAGAUCUAAAUAUUGGUCUGAGUAGCUAAAGUAGGAGGAAAAGUAAAAUUGAAGGGGAUUUGGAGUCUUCAGUGAGAUACAAGUCCCUGUCAAACAUAU